This 571-nucleotide ribosomal RNA is filed under the name uncultured bacterium. RNAcentral's name for it is "bacterial SSU rRNA". It matches the Rfam family "Bacterial small subunit ribosomal RNA", at positions 355 to 917 of the family's 1533-position model. The record is from RNAcentral.
UAGGGAAUCUUCCGCAAUGGGCGAAAGCCUGACGGAGCAACGCCGCGUGAGUGAUGAAGGUCUUCGGAUCGUAAAACUCUGUUAUUAGGGAAGAACAUAUGUGUAAGUAACUGUGCACAUCUUGACGGUACCUAAUCAGAAAGCCACGGCUAACUACGUGCCAGCAGCCGCGGUAAUACGUAGGUGGCAAGCGUUAUCCGGAAUUAUUGGGCGUAAAGCGCGCGUAGGCGGUUUUUUAAGUCUGAUGUGAAAGCCCACGGCUCAACCGUGGAGGGUCAUUGGAAACUGGAAAACUUGAGUGCAGAAGAGGAAAGUGGAAUUCCAUGUGUAGCGGUGAAAUGCGCAGAGAUAUGGAGGAACACCAGUGGCGAAGGCGACUUUCUGGUCUGUAACUGACGCUGAUGUGCGAAAGCGUGGGGAUCAAACAGGAUUAGAUACCCUGGUAGUCCACGCCGUAAACGAUGAGUGCUAAGUGUUAGGGGGUUUCCGCCCCUUAGUGCUGCAGCUAACGCAUUAAGCACUCCGCCUGGGGAGUACGACCGCAAGGUUGAAACUCAAAGGAAUUGACGGG